UUCAUAAUGUCAAACCCAACUCCCAUCUCUCACCAAAAGACCCCAAGAACACUUUGCACAUAAAACUCUUUUUCUUUGAAAUCUAUAAAGGAUUUUCUUAACUUCUAAACAAAUCUUAGCUCUAAACAACUUUGCUAGCCCCUUUUUUUUUAUUCUUUUCUUCUUUCUUUUUCUCUUUUUUUUUCUUUUUUUUUUAUUUUGUUUUUGUUUGGGGGCCAAGACUUUUCACAAAUCGAGCUAGAAGU
Molecule: long non-coding RNA, 245 nt
Filed under: Brassica napus (rape)
Lineage: Eukaryota; Viridiplantae; Streptophyta; Magnoliopsida; Brassicales; Brassicaceae
Description: long non-coding RNA (BNAP_LNC026712)
Source: RNAcentral